RNAcentral lists this ribosomal RNA (492 nucleotides) under uncultured bacterium. RNAcentral describes it as "partial 16S ribosomal RNA". It matches the Rfam family "Bacterial small subunit ribosomal RNA", at positions 29 to 507 of the family's 1533-position model. The record is from RNAcentral.
AGUGAACGCUGGCGGUAGGCCUAACACAUGCAAGUCGAACGGCAGCACAGUAAGAGCUUGCUCUUACGGGUGGCGAGUGGCGGACGAGUGAGGAAUACAUCGGAAUCUACUUUUUCGUGGGGGAUAACGUAGGGAAACUUACGCUAAUACCGCAUACGACCUACGGGUGAAAGCAGGGGAUCUUCGGACCUUGCGCGAUUGAAUGAGCCGAUGUCGGAUUAGCUAGUUGGCGGGGUAAAGGCCCACCAAGGCGACGAUCCGUAGCUGGUCUGAGAGGAUGAUCAGCCACACUGGAACUGAGACACGGUCCAGACUCCUACGGGAGGCAGCAGUGGGGAAUAUUGGACAAUGGGCGCAAGCCUGAUCCAGCCAUACCGCGUGGGUGAAGAAGGCCUUCGGGUUGUAAAGCCCUUUUGUUGGGAAAGAAAAGCAGCAGGUUAAUACCCCGCUGUUCUGACGGUACCCAAAGAAUAAGCGCCGGCUAACUUCGUG